This 581-nucleotide ribosomal RNA is filed under the name uncultured bacterium. RNAcentral describes it as "bacterial SSU rRNA". It matches the Rfam family "Bacterial small subunit ribosomal RNA", at positions 159 to 774 of the family's 1533-position model. The record is from RNAcentral.
ACUGCUAAUACCGGAUGAUGACGUAAGUCCAAAUAUUUAUCGCCGAGGGAUGACCCCGCAUAAUAUUAGGUAGUUGGUGUGGUAAAGGCGCACCAACCCAACUAUCUUUAGCUGGUCUGAAAGGAUGAUCACCCACACUGGGACUGACACACCGCCCACACUCCUACGGGAGGCAGCAGUGGGGAAUAUUGGACAAUGGGCGAAAGCCUGAUCCAGCAAUGCCGCGUGAGUGAUGAAGGCCUUAGGGUUGUAAAGCUCUUUUACCCGGGAUGAUAAUGACAGUACCGGAAGAAUAACCCCCGGCUAACUCCGUGCCAGCAGCCGCGGUAAUACGGAGGGGGCUAGCGUUAUUCAGAAUUACUGGGCGUAAAGCGCACGUAGGCGGCUUUGUAAGUCAGGGGAGAAAGCCUGGAGCUCAACUCCAGAACUGCCUUUGAGACUGCAUCGCUUGAAUCCAGGAGAGGUGAGUGGAAUUCCGAGUGUAGAGGUGAAAUUCGUAUAUAUUCAGAAGACCACCAGUGGCGAACGCGGCUCACUGUACUGUUAUUGACACUGAGGUGCGAAAGCGUGAAGAGCAAACA